Molecule: RNA transcript, 6393 nt
Organism: Loxodonta africana (African savanna elephant)
Lineage: Eukaryota; Metazoa; Chordata; Mammalia; Proboscidea; Elephantidae
Gene: PAFAH2
Gene name: platelet activating factor acetylhydrolase 2
Exons: 11
Source: RefSeq, a predicted model, not a curated record
AUUCGACGAAUCACACAACCUCUGUGGGACUCACUGCCCUCCCUCGUGUACAAUGGAGAUGACAGUUGCCCUAUGUGUCUCUCUUUGGCCGUGGCUGUGUUGUGGAGCCAUUGGGUUAAUAUUUGUGAAAGUGCUUUGUAACUGUAAAGCCUCCACAACCGAGAGAUUAUUUUUAUUACGAUUGCAAUGCUCUGGAACCCCUUUGUCUUGCCUCCUUUUCUAGCUUUGCCAUCUUGUUGUUCAGCCCGUUCCCUGAGGGCUUGGUGUCUAAUUUCUCUAAAGGCAAGGUGAUAUUUCCUCACUUACUUCAGAGUCCAAGGGUCGGACCAAUGAGCUUUAAGUGUCCAGAGAGCUUCCUUUGAAAGGAAGCAGGGGAGAAGUGCUUAUCUUGGACACCGUCCUGAAAUAGCUGGUGAUGAAAAGUUUACACAGCUGGCAGAGGGGCAGUCCCUGCUCAGUCCAAAUAGAGCCUCACCGGGAGAUGGACAGCUGCAUUUUGAGGCCCACCUAUUCCCUGUGGUGUCUUCUGGCCCUGUUUGUUAGACUCUGGCUUUGGUAGGGGUGUCUCAGGCCCAAAAAACCUGAGAGGAGAGAAUCCAUUUGGCCAAAGGGUUUAAUCUGUGCAAGACAAAAGAGACCUUGACUGGUUAUAAUGUAAGGGAGACAUGGCUUCGUUAAAUUACUAAUGUUUUGUGAAGACUUAAAAUGUACUGGAGCCCUUUUGGUGCAGUGGUUAAGCCGUUGGCUGCCAACCAGAAUGUCAUCUGAUGGAACCCACCAGCUGCUCCAUGGGAGAAAGAUGUGGCAGUCUGCUUCUGUAAAGAUUACAGCCUUGGAAACCCUAUGGGGUAGUUCUGCCCUGUCCUGUAGGAUCGCUAUGCGUCAGAAUCAACUCUACGGCAGCGGAUUUGUUUUGUUUUUGGUUUGUGAAAAGCACCUAGCAUAGUUCCUGACACAGAGUAAGUGUUCAGCAAAUGGUGCUCAUGUUGGUGUUGGGGAUGCUGAAACUGAGGAACAGGGAGUGAUGACAUUAGCCCCGAUUGAAGAAGCAGCUACGUUAUCAGAAAGGUAUGAAUCAGAUGCAUGUAUACCUGUCACGUCGAAGACUACUGUUAGAUCUGCUGCAGACAUCAUACUCUUCCCUAUCUGCCUUUCUUUGCUCUUAUAUUCUUUACUGUCUAGAAAUGCUUUCCUUCGUCUCCUCUCCCUCUCUAAAUCUUCCUCACCUUUCAAGGCCCAGCAAAAGUGCCACCUUUUCCAAGUAGCCUUCCUUGACUACUCUCAUUGUCUUUCAUCUUGAAAUUCCAGUUGAACUCACAGUUCAUGGUUUAGGUCAGUGACUUGUGUAACUGAGUCUCCCCAGGAGCAGAAUCAGUAAUGGGUAAAAGCUCAGGUUGGGGAGUUAGACCUGGGUUUGCCACUUAUUAUCAGUGUAACUUGGGAAAGUUAUUCAGUGUCCCAAUGCCUUAGUUUCCUCAUUUGUAAAAUAGGGUCUUACUACUAGUACCUACUCAGAGAGUCCGUUGAGAGAUUUAAAUGAGGUAUUGUGUGUAAAGAGCUUAGUACAGUGGUGGCACAGAGUAAGAGCUAUUACCCAUUGCCCUCAAGUUGAUUCCAGCCUGUUGUGACCCUAGAGGACAGGGUAGAACUGCCCCAUAGGGUUUCAAGGAGCCCCUGGUAGAUUUGAACUGCCGACCUUUUGGUUAGCAGCUGAGCUCUUAACCGCUGCACCGCCAGGGCUCCAAUAAGUAAUAGAUAUUAGUGGUUAUUAUUGUGAUAUUAGCAUCAUAAGAGCAAAUUCUGUGUUACGGUCUCUGUAGCAGUUACUCCUGUGCUGGGCACGUAAUAGGUGCGGAAUAAACACUUGUUGAAGGAUUUUGAGGACUACAGAAGCUCUCGUGUCCACAACCACCCCCCAAAAGAAAGAAAAAAGUAGCCCCUACAGCCAGAAUGCUCCUUGGAAGCAAGGAUGAUGAGACUACGUCUCACAUACUUUGGACAUGUUAUCAGGAGGGAUCAGUCCCUGGAGAAGGAGAUCAUGCUUGGUAAAGUAGAAGGUCAGCGAAAAAAAGUAAGACCCUCAAUGAGAUGGAUUGACACGGUGGUGACAACAGUGGGCUCAAGCAUAGCAACAAUUGUAAGGAUGGCACCGGCCGGGGCAGUGUUUCCUUCUGUUGUGCAUAGGAUAGCUAUGAGUCAGUACCCACUUGAUGGCACCUAACAACAACAAACCUUGGCAAAGUCAGUGUAGCACAGUAGGUAAUGUACAAGGUGAUUUUAUAAAAGAGGGACUGGUGAGGAGGUUAAGGCGACAGAGGGGGUGGCAGAUGGCUCAUGUAAGCAACAGGAAGCUAAGAGGAAACCAGCAAGAUGCUGUUCUGUGUUCCACCCUCCAGCCAUCAAGUUGAGCACUGCUCAAGUUGUCAUUUGAUUCAGCUGGUGAUGAAAUGGGAGUCAACCAGUCCAUGGGCUUUCCACCUGUAACAGGACCCCACCUUGUAGGCUGCGGGGAUGUGAUGGAGGGUCAGAGUCUCCAGGGGAGCUUCUUUCGACUCUUCUACCCCUGCCAAGAGGCAGUGGAGACCACGGAGCAGCCCCUGUGGAUUCCCCGCUAUGAGUACUGCACUGGCCUGGCUGAUUACCUGCAGUUUAAUAAGCGCUGGGGGGGGUUGCUGUUUAACCUGGCUAUGGGAUCUUGUCGUCUGCCUGUCAGCUGGAAUGGCCCCUUUAAAACAAAGGACUCUGGAUAUCCCUUGAUCAUCUUCUCCCAUGGCCUGGGAGGCUUCAGGACAUUGUAUUCGGCUUUCUGCAUGGAACUGGCCUCCCGUGGCUUUGUGGUUGCUGUGGCAGAGCACAGGGACCAGUCAGCUGCGACCACCUAUUUCUGUAAGAAGGCUCCAGAGGAGAACCAGACCAUCAGUGAGUCACUGGAGGAAGAAUGGAUCCCAUACCGUCAAGUUGGGGAAGGGGAGAAGGAAUUCCAUGUUCGGAAUCCUCAGGUGCAUCAGAGGGUGAGUGAAUGUAUACGGGUAUUGAGGAUCCUGCAAGACGUCACUGCUGGGCGAACUGUCCUCAACAUCUUGCCUGGUGGAUUGGAUCUGGUACCCUUCGAGGGCAGCAUUGACAUGAGCCGUGUGGCUGUGAUGGGACAUUCAUUUGGAGGGGCCACAGCUAUUCUGGCUUUGGCCAAGGAAACCCAGUUUCGGUGUGCUGUGGCUCUGGAUGCUUGGAUGUUUCCACUGGAACGUGACUUUUACUCCAAGGCCCGAGGCCCUGUAUUCUUCAUCAAUACUGAAAAAUUCCAGACAGUGGAGAGUAUCAAUUUGAUGAAGAAGAUAUGCACCCAGCAUGAACAAUCUAAGAUCAUAACUGUCCUUGGGUCUGUUCAUCGGAGUCAAACUGACUUUGCCUUUGUGACUGGCAAUUUGAUUGGUAAAUUCUUCUCUCAGACUCGUGGGAGCUUGGACCCCUAUGAAGGUCAGGAGAUCGUGGUGCGGGCCAUGCUGGCCUUCCUGCAGAAGCACCUCGACCUGAAGGAGGACUAUAAUCAAUGGAACGACCUCAUUGAAGGCAUUGGACCAUCACUCACCCCCGGGGCCCCACACCAUCUGUCCAGCCUGUAGGCACAAGUGGCAAUUUUCAAAAGGUCACUUGAGCUGAGUUUCCAUUUGAGGGCUGCCCAGGAGUACCCCUAAUCUUCCAUCAGGAAAUGGUUAACAUGACCCUUCACAGAGAGAGGAUAUAAUCACACUGCUGACUGGGUAACUGGGGACUUUGAUCUCGGACUUGUUGAUUUUCAGCUCAUGCCAGGACUUGAAUCACUUGCUGAUUGGCAGACUGACUUUCUGGGGCCUGAGCCCUGAUGGUGUGGGGAACAAGCAGUAGGGCAGGGCUCAAAUUGAGCACUGUGAGGCCAGAAUGUACAGACUUAGCCAGGGGGCCUACUCCCUCACCUUGGGCCAGUGUGACUUCUGCAGUGGUAGAGAAGACGCCAAAGCUUGGAGUUGAAAUCUUCUCCUUCAGGAACUGUCGCGCAACCUGGCACUAUCUCUUCCUACCUCUCAACCUUCUCCUUACCCAAGGCCACGUGUCCAAGUGGGGAGCCUCAGAGGAAGCAAGAGCAAAGGGCAAAUGUGUUUCUAUACAGUAAGCCCAAGGUGAGUGCUACCAAAGCAUGCUGGAACCAGGCCUCCCCCCUCUCACCAGCUCUUCUAAGAGACGAAAACAGCAGAUCCAUUGAGGCUGUGACCUUUGGAAGGAUGUAUGGGUUCCAGUGCGAUGUAGCAGAAGGAAGGCAUCAUUAAAGCCCUGGGCUCUGGAGUUAUAUGGCCUUGUCCUGAGUUCUGGCUCCACACUACUCACUGGGUAAAUCUGAGGAAAUCGUAUGCUGUUUCUAAUCUCUAAAGUAGGACCUGCAUUAUGAAUAGUUACAAGAGCUAAAUGAGAACUUUUUUUUUUUUUUAUAACCCAUGGGUUAAUUAAAAGUGUCUUUCUUACUUGACGAACACAGGAUUUGUCUGUUUAGAGUUACCGUUUUCUAGUUUAAUUCCUUUGUGGUCUGAGAAGAUGACGCAUAUAGUUUCCACCCACCAAGGUUUGUGGAAACUUGCUUGUUGGCCCAGUGCGAGGUCAGUUUUAUAAAUGACCCACGUAUGCUUAAAAAGACUGUAUGUUUUGAAGUUGUUGGCUUGCUGUUUUACUCCACAACAUACCAUGAGAGCACACACAGUAUAGAACGGGGCAUUCCACCUCCCAAAUGGGAACCAGAGCUCCUCAGCACCUGCAGAGCCAGCUGCAGGCCAACCCUGAGUAGGUGCCACACCUUGUGCAUGGAGCCGGCUAUACAAGUGCUGAGGGGCUAGCUCCGGCAGUAAUAGCACGAGACCCAGCUUCCACCACAGACUCAUAAAUAAUUCGGAUACAUGUUGUAAAGCCCUGAGCAGAGGACCUGGAACCUCCCUAGAGAAUGACGUUCACAAACUGGAUUCAUCACCUCUGCUCAGCUCAUAUUCUGGUAAGGACUUAUCCGGCAACAUUGGAGUAGGUGGAUUUUCCAUGUAACUGAAAAUUAUCCCCUAAGCCCCAAAACAUAAUAUUGACUAUAUUGAAUGGUAAUCUACCAAAAAGAAAAAAAAUAACACACAUACUUCCUGAUAAAAGUGAACAACUUCCUGAUCAAAGUGAACUUAACUUUGUAGGAUGUUUCCAUCAAGAUAGCUAGACAACAAAACUCAUUUCUUGCCCAUGCUGUUUGUCCACUGUGGGUUGGCUGGAGGCUCUAUUCUGCAUCGUUAUCCUCCUCAUUCAUCCUCCCACUUCUGGGAUUUGUUGGGUUCGGGCUGGUUGGGUUCUUACUGUGCCCCCAACACAGACCCUAGCUCCUUUCCAGUGUGCGUCCUGACACAGCUGCCCCUCUUGCCCCUUCCCCACAAAGACUCUGGGCUUUUGAAAUGUCAAAUGAUAGGCCCCAACUCCUUGUCUUGGCUUUGUGGGAACCUUAAUCUGGCCCUCUUUUUCGUCUCCUGGAGCACCACUUACCCCUCUGGCUGCGAAGGGGCAGGAGAGGCCACAUCUAUACCCAGGACCUAGCCUCAUGAGGAAACUCUCCCCCAUCACAACCUGAUGCAGAGGCUGAGUGUCCCUGGCCAUAGCUAUGUGCUCAAAUGCCAAUGCCAAUAAUAAAAUAAUAAGAGCUGACAUUUACUGGGCCUUUAGUGUUGUCAGGGACUGUGCUAAGUGCUUUACAUGCAUUAUCUCAUUUACUUCUCACAGUAACCCUGUGGGGUCAGGUGGUAUUAGUCUCAUUUAUGUGAGGAAAUAGGCUUAGAGAAGUGCCUUGAUCAAGCUCUCACAGCAAGAAUGUGGCAAAGCUGGGACCUGGGCAUCAAAAUCUGAGCUUAGAAUUCCUGGGCUGUACUGCCAACUUUUUUUUUUUUUUUUUUACUGCCUAGCAUACACACUUGGUUUUGCACUUUCCCCUGUGUCUUCAAAUGGGCAGAAUAUAGAAAAUAUAAUUUUAUAAUAGAUCGAAUCCAGGAUAUCAGAUUUUCCAGCAAUUUCUACAUGACCUGUAUUGAAAUUCAGUGCUGUCUCCAGCGCUAUUAAGAAAUGAGUUGGGGAAGAGAACUGAGCUUCACUGGGCACUGUGGGCUAGGUGAUCUGUUGAUUUGACAGGUUGGGGAAAUGCGGGGAUUAAGAACAUGGUCUUUAAAAUCAGACAGCCCCCGCACUUUUAGCACUGUGACAUUAUGUUAAUUUAUUAACUUCUCUCAGCUUCAGUUUUCUCAUCCAUAAAAUGGAAUUCUAAUAGCAUUUACCCCAUUAGGGUGAUUGUGAUAAUUAAAUGAAAUAACCCAGGUAAAGGGCUUAGCAGUGUCUGGACAUAAAAAAAAA